GAUGAACGCUGGCGGCGUGCCUAAUACAUGCAAGUCGAGCGAACAGACGAGGAGCUUGCUCCUCUGACGUUAGCGGCGGACGGGUGAGUAACACGUGGAUAACCUACCUAUAAGACUGGGAUAACUUCGGGAAACCGGAGCUAAUACCGGAUAAUAUAUUGAACCGCAUGGUUCAAUAGUGAAAGACGGUUUUGCUGUCACUUAUAGAUGGAUCCGCGCCGCAUUAGCUAGUUGGUAAGGUAACGGCUUACCAAGGCAACGAUGCGUAGCCGACCUGAGAGGGUGAUCGGCCGCACGGGAACUGAGACACGGUCCAGACUCCUACGGGAGGCAGCAGUAGGGAAUCUUCCGCAAUGGGCGAGAGCCUGACGGAGCAACGCCGCGUGAGUGAUGAAGGUCUUCGGAUCGUAAAACUCUGUUAUUAGGGAAGAACAAAUGUGUAAGUAACUAUGCACGUCUUGACGGUACCUAAUCAGAAAGCCACGGCUAACUACGUG
Molecule: ribosomal RNA, 497 nt
Filed under: uncultured bacterium
Lineage: Bacteria
Description: partial 16S ribosomal RNA
Rfam family: Bacterial small subunit ribosomal RNA
Source: RNAcentral